This 476-nucleotide ribosomal RNA is filed under the name uncultured bacterium. RNAcentral's name for it is "partial 16S ribosomal RNA". It matches the Rfam family "Bacterial small subunit ribosomal RNA", at positions 28 to 523 of the family's 1533-position model. The record is from RNAcentral.
GAUGAACGCUGGCGGCGUGCUUAACACAUGCAAGUCGAGCGAGAGAGUUCUUCGGAACAAUCUAGCGGCGGACGGGUGAGUAACACGUGGGCAACCUGCCUCAUAGAGGGGAAUAGCCUUCCGAAAGGAAGAUUAAUACCGCAUAACAUCGUUGAAGGGCAUCCUUCGAUGAUCAAAGGAGCAAUCCGCUAUGAGAUGGGCCCGCGGCGCAUUAGCUAGUUGGUGAGGUAACGGCUCACCAAGGCGACGAUGCGUAGCCGACCUGAGAGGGUGAUCGGCCACAUUGGGACUGAGACACGGCCCAGACUCCUACGGGAGGCAGCAGUGGGGAAUAUUGCACAAUGGGGGAAACCCUGAUGCAGCAACGCCGCGUGAGUGAUGACGGCCUUCGGGUUGUAAAGCUCUGUCUUUGGGGACGAUAAUGACGGUACCCAAGGAGGAAGUCACGGCUAACUACGUGCCAGCCGCCGCUGUAA